RNAcentral lists this transfer RNA (67 nucleotides) under Macrolibnetis sp. UPOL 000L21. RNAcentral describes it as "tRNA-Phe". Lineage: Eukaryota; Metazoa; Arthropoda; Insecta; Coleoptera; Lycidae. The record is from RNAcentral.
AUAUUUUAAAGAAUUAUAAUCUUCCUUGAUAUCUUCAAUAUCACACUCUAUAUAAGCUAUUAAAAUA